Molecule: ribosomal RNA, 467 nt
Filed under: uncultured bacterium
Lineage: Bacteria
Description: partial 16S ribosomal RNA
Rfam family: Bacterial small subunit ribosomal RNA
Source: RNAcentral
GAUGAACGCUGACAGCAUGCUUAACACAUGCCAGUCAACUUGAAUUUGGGUUUUUAACUUAGGUUUGGGUGGCGGACGGGUGAGUAACGCGUAAAGAACUUGCCUCCCAGCUAGGGACAACAUUUGGAAACGAAUGCUAAUACCUAAUAUUAUGAUACUAGGGCAUCCUAUAAUUAUGAAAGCUAUAAGCGCUGUGAGAGAGCUUUGCGUCUCAUUAGCUAGUUGGUGAGGUAACGGCUCACCAAGGCGAUGAUGGGUAGCCGGUCUGAGAGGGUGAUCGGCCACAAGGGGACUGAGACACGGCCCUUACUCCUACGGGAGGCAGCAGUGGGGAAUAUUGGACAAGGGACCAAGAGUCUGAUCCAGCAAUUCUGUGUGCACGAUGAAGUUUUUCGGAAUGAAAAGUGCUUUCAGUUGAGAAGGAACAAAUGACGGUACCAACAGAAGAAGUGACGGCUAAAUACGUG